RNAcentral lists this ribosomal RNA (425 nucleotides) under uncultured Pediococcus sp. Its description in RNAcentral is "bacterial SSU rRNA". It matches the Rfam family "Bacterial small subunit ribosomal RNA", at positions 358 to 774 of the family's 1533-position model. The record is from RNAcentral. Lineage: Bacteria; Bacillati; Bacillota; Bacilli; Lactobacillales; Lactobacillaceae.
GGAAUCUUCGGCAAUGGGGGCAACCCUGACCGAGCAACGCCGCGGGAGUGAAGAAGGUUUUCGGACCGUAAAGCUCUGUUGUAAGAGAAGAACGUGUGUGAGAGUGGAAAGUUCACACAGUGACGGUAACUUACCAGAAAGGGCCGGCUAACUCCGUGCCAGCAGCCGCGGUAAUACGGAGGAUGCGAGCGUUAUCCGGAUUUAUUGGGCGUAAAGCGAGCGCAGGCGGUCUUUUAAGUCUAAUGUGAAAGCCUUCGGCUUAACCGAAGAAGUGCAUUGGAAACUGGAAGACUUGAGUGCAGAAGAGGACAGUGGAACUCCAUGUGUAGCGGUGAAAUGCGUAGAUAUAUGGAAGAACACCAGUGGCGAAGGCGGCUGUCUGGUCUGUAACUGACGCUGAGGCUCGAAAGCAUGGGUAGCGAACA